AGUGAACGCUGGCGGUAGGCCUAACACAUGCAAGUCGAACGGCAGCACAGUAAGAGCUUGCUCUUACGGGUGGCGAGUGGCGGACGGGUGAGGAAUACAUCGGAAUCUACUUUUUCGUGGGGGAUAACGUAGGGAAACUUACGCUAAUACCGCAUACGACCUACGGGUGAAAGCAGGGGAUCUUCGGACCUUGCGCGAUUGAAUGAGCCGAUGUCGGAUUAGCUAGUUGGCGGGGUAAAGGCCCACCAAGGCGACGAUCCGCAGCUGGUCUGAGAGGAUGGUCGGCCACAUUGGAAGUGAGACACGGUCCAGACUCCUACGGGAGGCAGCAGUGGGGAAUAUUGGACAAUGGGGGCAAGCCUGAUCCAGCCAUACCGCGUGGGUGAAGAAGGCCUUCGGGUUGUAAAGACCUUUUGUUGGGAAAGAAAAGCAGCAGGUUAAUACCCCGCUGUUCUGACGGUACCCAAAGAAUAAGCACCGGCUAACUUCGUG
This 492-nucleotide ribosomal RNA is filed under the name uncultured bacterium. RNAcentral's name for it is "partial 16S ribosomal RNA". It matches the Rfam family "Bacterial small subunit ribosomal RNA", at positions 29 to 507 of the family's 1533-position model. The record is from RNAcentral.